Molecule: non-coding RNA, 218 nt
Filed under: Clostridium estertheticum
Lineage: Bacteria; Bacillati; Bacillota; Clostridia; Eubacteriales; Clostridiaceae
Description: T-box sequence
Rfam family: T-box leader
About the family: Uncharged tRNA acts as the effector for transcription antitermination of genes in the T-box leader family. T-boxes are found upstream of many aminoacyl-tRNA synthetase genes and some amino acid biosynthetic genes usually in Gram-positive bacteria. The anticodon of a specific tRNA base pairs to a specifier sequence within the T-box motif, and the NCCA acceptor tail of the tRNA base pairs to a conserved bulge in the T-box antiterminator hairpin.
Source: RNAcentral
UAAAUAGCUUUGAUUAGGAGUAUUAGUAUUUAUAUCAUUUUUUAGAGAGCUGCUGUUAGCUGCAAAGCAGUAAUGAUAAAAUAUGAACUUACCUAUAGACUUACAUCGUAAGUAAAAGCCUACUUGUAAAAACAAGUACGGUUAAAACCGUUAUAUUUGCAAGUGAGGUUUAAAACCUAACUAGAGUGGUACCGCGGAAUAUUACUUUCGUCUCUUUU